Molecule: ribosomal RNA, 1171 nt
Filed under: uncultured bacterium
Lineage: Bacteria
Description: bacterial SSU rRNA
Rfam family: Bacterial small subunit ribosomal RNA
Source: RNAcentral
AACCGGCAGAAAUGCUGGCUAAUACCGCAUAAUCCACAUUGGGAAAGCGCGCUGCGCUUUAGGAUGAGCCCAAGGCUGAUUAGCUAGUUGGUGGGGUAAAGGCCUACCAAGGCGACGAUCAGUAGCUGGUCUUAGAGGAUGAUCAGCCACACUGGAACUGAGACACGGUCCAGACCCCUACGGGAGGCAGCAGUGGGGAAUCCUGCACACUGGGGGCAACCCUGAUGCAGCCAUGCCGCGUGCGCGAUGAAGGCCUUCGGGUUGUAAAGCGCUUUUGGCGGGGACGACGAUGACGGUACCCGCAGAAUAAGUCACGGCUAACUUCGUGCCAGCAGCCGCGGUAAUACGAAGGUGGCGAAUGUUGCUCGGAUUCACUGGGCGUAAAGCGUCCGCAGGUGGUCGAUUAAGUCAGGUGUGAAAGCCCCGAGCUCAACGUGGGAACUGCAUUUGAAACUGAUUGACUCGAGGGCAAGAGAGGAGGGCGGAAUUUCCGGUGUAGAGGUGAAAUUCGUAGAUAUCGGAAGGAACACCCAUGGCGAAGGCAGCUCUCUGGCUUGCUCCUGACACUCAUGGACGACAGCGUGGGGAUCAAACAGGAUUAGAUACCCUGGUAGUCCACGCCGUAAACGAUGCAUGCUCGCUGUCAGACCCGCUACAGGGUUUGGUGGCUUAGCUAACGCGGUAAGCAUGCCGCCUGGGGAUUACGGCCGCAAGGUUAAAACUCAAAGGAAUUGACGGGGACCCGCACAAGUGGUGGAGUAUGUUCUUUAAUUCGACGAUACGCGAAAAACCUUACCUGGGCUUGUAUGUCAGCUGCCGUUCCCCGAAAAGGGAGCUUCAUUUAGUUGGGCUGAACACAGGUGUUGCAUGGCUGUCGUCAGCUCGUGUCGUGAUCUAAGACAACCGCCGUGGAUAACGCGGAAGGAAGGUGGGGGAUGAUGUCAAGUCAUCAUGGGCCCUUACGCCCAGGGCAAGAAGACGUACUACAAUUGCCAGUUACAAAAGGGUUGCCAAACCCGCAAGGUGAAGCCAAUCCCAAAAAAGCUGGGUUCAGUUUUCAGAAUGUCCCUCUUGAAAUCCAAAGGGAUUAAAGCUGGGAAACCCUAGAAAAACCCCGGAUAACAAAUGGCGCCGGGGAAAACAAUUCCGGCUGUUUUUUUUUUCCCCCACG